RNAcentral lists this ribosomal RNA (300 nucleotides) under Triticum aestivum (bread wheat). Its description in RNAcentral is "partial small subunit ribosomal RNA". Lineage: Eukaryota; Viridiplantae; Streptophyta; Magnoliopsida; Poales; Poaceae. The record is from RNAcentral.
AUGGAGAGCUUUACAAAUGGGAAUGUUAGGUUAUUGAAGCAUGAACGCAACAUUGUUGCAGAGGAUGAUCUUGACCAUCGGUGGCAGGAAGCCACUCGAGAGGCUGUUUCCGAGGUCUCCAACCGCCCUGCACUCAUUGUCCAUCCAAUCAGUGUGCCACAUCUGAGGGAGGAUGAGACCCCCCCCCCCCCCUCAAGGUGGGAGGCCUGGAUGGGAAGCGGUGCCAAACCCUCGAAUUGGCCCAUGGUUCCGGUUGAUGCAAAAUGUUGCUGCAGACCAAGGUCUUGUUCCAGAGUUUGA